UAAACGGGAUUAGAUACCCUGGUAGUCCACGCCGUAAACGAUGUCGACUUGGAGGUUGUUCCCUUGAGGAGUGGCUUCCGGAGCUAACGCGUUAAGUCGACCGCCUGGGGAGUACGGCCGCAAGGUUAAAACUCAAAUGAAUUGACGGGGGCCCGCACAAGCGGUGGAGCAUGUGGUUUAAUUCGAUGCAACGCGAAGAACCUUACCUACUCUUGACAUCCACGGAAUUCGGCAGAGAUGCCUUAGUGCCUUCGGGAACCGUGAGACAGGUGCUGCAUGGCUGUCGUCAGCUCGUGUUGUGAAAUGUUGGGUUAAGUCCCGCAACGAGCGCAACCCUUAUCCUUUGUUGCCAGCGAUUCGGUCGGGAACUCAAAGGAGACUGCCGGUGAUAAACCGGAGGAAGGUGGGGAUGACGUCAAGUCAUCAUGGCCCUUACGAGUAGGGCUACACACGUGCUACAAUGGCGCAUACAAAGAGAAGCGACCUCGCGAGAGCAAGCGGACCUCAUAAAGUGCGUCGUAGUCCGGAUCGGAGUCUGCAACUCGACUCCGUGAAGUCGGAAUCGCUAGUAAUCGUGGAUCAGAAUGCCACGGUGAAUACGUUCCCGGGCCUUGUACACACCGCCCGUCACACCAUGGGAGUGGGUUGCAAAAGAAGUAGGUAGCUUAACCCUCGGGAGGGCGCUUACCACUUUGUGAUUCAUGACUGGGGUGAAGUCGUAACAAGGUAACCA
This 733-nucleotide ribosomal RNA is filed under the name uncultured endophytic bacterium. RNAcentral's name for it is "bacterial SSU rRNA". It matches the Rfam family "Bacterial small subunit ribosomal RNA", at positions 769 to 1502 of the family's 1533-position model. The record is from RNAcentral.